RNAcentral lists this ribosomal RNA (274 nucleotides) under uncultured bacterium. RNAcentral's name for it is "partial 16S ribosomal RNA". It matches the Rfam family "Bacterial small subunit ribosomal RNA", at positions 523 to 796 of the family's 1533-position model. The record is from RNAcentral.
AUACGGAGGGUGCAAGCGUUAUCCGGAAUCAUUGGGUUUAAAGGGUCCGCAGGCGGUCAAUUAAGUCAGAGGUGAAAUCCCGUCGCUCAACGACGGAACUGCCUUUGAUACUGGUUGACUUGAGUUAUACGGAAGUAGAUAGAAUGUGUAGUGUAGCGGUGAAAUGCAUAGAUAUUACACAGAAUACCGAUUGCGAAGGCAGUCUACUACGUAUAUACUGACGCUCAUGGACGAAAGCGUGGGGAGCGAACAGGAUUAGAAACCCUAGUAGUCC